RNAcentral lists this ribosomal RNA (394 nucleotides) under uncultured bacterium. Its description in RNAcentral is "bacterial SSU rRNA". It matches the Rfam family "Bacterial small subunit ribosomal RNA", at positions 505 to 898 of the family's 1533-position model. The record is from RNAcentral.
GUGCCAGCAGCCGCGGUAAUACAGAGGGUGCAAGCGUUAAUCGGAUUUACUGGGCGUAAAGGGUGUGUAGGUGGUUUGACAAGUCGGUUGUGAAAUCCCCGGGCUUAACCUGGGAACUGCUUCCGAGACUGUUUGACUAGAGUACGGUAGAGGGCGGUGGAAUUUCCGGUGUAGCGGUGAAAUGCGUAGAUAUCGGAAGGAACACCAAUGGCGAAGGCAGCCGCCUGGGCCUGUACUGACACUGAAACACGAAAGCGUGGGGAUCAAACAGGAUUAGAUACCCUGGUAGUCCACGCCGUAAACGAUGGACACUUGACGUCGGCAUGCUCUGCGUGUCGGUGUCGUAGCUAACGCGAUAAGUGUCCCGCCUGGGGAGUACGGUCGCAAGAUUAAA